GACGAACGCUGGCGGCGUGCUUAACACAUGCAAGUCGAACGGAAAGGCCCUGCUUUUGUGGGGUGCUCGAGCGGCGAACGGGUGAGUAACACGUGAGUAACCUGCCCUUGACUUUGGGAUAACUUCAGGAAACUGGGGCUAAUACCGGAUAGGAGCUCCUGCUGCAUGGUGGGGGUUGGAAAGUUUCGGCGGUUGGGGAUGGACUCGCGGCUUAUCAGCUUGUUGGUGGGGUAGUGGCUUACCAAGGCUUUGACGGGUAGCCGGCCUGAGAGGGUGACCGGCCACAUUGGGACUGAGAUACGGCCCAGAAUCCUACGGGAGGCAGCAGUGGGGAAUAUUGCAAAAUGGGCGGAAGCCUGAUGCAGCAACGCCGCGUGCGGGAUGACGGCCUUCGGGUUGUAAACCGCUUUCGCCUGUGACGAAGCGUGAGUGACGGUAAUGGGUAAAGAAGCACCGGCUAACUACGUG
Molecule: ribosomal RNA, 468 nt
Filed under: uncultured bacterium
Lineage: Bacteria
Description: partial 16S ribosomal RNA
Rfam family: Bacterial small subunit ribosomal RNA
Source: RNAcentral